RNAcentral lists this ribosomal RNA (301 nucleotides) under uncultured bacterium. RNAcentral's name for it is "partial 16S ribosomal RNA". It matches the Rfam family "Bacterial small subunit ribosomal RNA", at positions 509 to 807 of the family's 1533-position model. The record is from RNAcentral.
CAGCCGCCGCGGGAAUACGAAGGGUGCAAGCGUUACUCGGAAUUACUGGGCGUAAAGCGUGCGUAGGUGGUGGUUUAAGUCCGUUGUGAAAGCCCUGGGCUCAACCUGGGAAUUGCAGUGGAUACUGGGUCACUAGAGUGUGGUAGAGGAUAGUGGAAUUUCCGGUGUAGCAGUGAAAUGCGUAGAGAUCGGAGGGAACAUCUGUGGCGAAGGCGACUAUCUGGGACAACACUGACGCUGAGGCACGAAAGCGUGGGGAGCAAACAGGAUUAGAUACCCCCGUAGUCCCUGUCUCUUAUAC